UAAGUAGGCGGUCUAUUAAGUGAGGGGUGAAAUCUUCCGGCUCAAUCGGAAAACUGCCCUUCAAACUAAUAAACUUGAGGUUGGAAGAGGGAAACGGAAUUAGCAGUGUAAGGGUGAAAUCUGUAGAUAUUGCUAAGAACACCAGCGGCGAAGGCGGUUUCCUGGUCCAAAUCUGACGCUAAAUUACGAAAGCUAGGGGAGCAAACAGGAUUAGAUACCCUGGUAGUCC
This 229-nucleotide ribosomal RNA is filed under the name uncultured bacterium. Its description in RNAcentral is "partial 16S ribosomal RNA". It matches the Rfam family "Bacterial small subunit ribosomal RNA", at positions 568 to 796 of the family's 1533-position model. The record is from RNAcentral.